ACGGGGAGGGUGCUGCUGGAGCGCAUCACCGGGCUGGAGUCACGGCUGCCUGCACGGGCACAGCCACACUGCUCAGGCACUGCCAGCCCUGCAGGCCCAGACACUCCCCUGCACACACACAGCCAGCCACCCUUAGGAAACAGGGACCGGAACCUGCUGCCACCAAAAGUGCUGCCCGUUUUGAUCCCUGAGCGUUUUCCCGUACAUAAAAGCUUUGUUGAUGUCUGACUUCUUACUGGAUAAACUGCAAGGGAUUUUCCCUAGGAGCUGAGUUGCAUGACAAUAUAAAAAGAGCUGAAACUCCAUUUUACAGCAUUUGUGUUAUACUUCUAGCUCUUUCUUGUUGCCACCUGUCACCUUUUCAAGUAAAGAAUGGUAGUUUUUUCUGUUAGGAGGAGAAAUACUUGGCUUGGUCAUACUUCAUACUAAUUUAAUGUGGAAAGUUGCAAAAUAUAUGUAUUUUUUCCCUUCCCUCCCUGCCACCUCCCUGUGACAGAAAAUAUUAAUACCUACAGCUUCUACCAUCAUCUGUUAAAUAUCUUGGAAACUGCUGGUAGGAAUACACAGCAUCACUUCUUCAGUUUCCUUUAUAGAAGUUAAUUCAAGGAAAAUGUUGUCAGUUCACACAGCAAGAGAAGGAUCUUCAGAGCUGUCAGCUAUACUGAAAUCAAUGCUGUGGUGGUGGUCCUAUCUCUGCAGACAGACAGUGCUACAAAAGAAAUGCUGCAGCUCUGUGGUUGUGAUAAGAGUAACUGUGAACCUGGGCUAGCCCAGAUUUCCUCAUUCUGCAAAUUCAGAGUUCAGACCAGCACAGCAAAUUCCCAAGGUUUACCAAAAUAAGAACUAAGCAAAGCAACCUUAGAUCAAGAAGUACCUUUCUGAAGAAGAGUGAAAGAGAGCCCAUCUUGCGAGGCCUGACAGCUGUGGCAGUGAAGUGCUGGGUGUGUCUCUGCUCGCCAGGGGAGAUCUGCUGCACUGUUAACUGGCCUGGCAACUGCAGUGCUGCCCCAGUCAUCUGAGUGUUCAGGGUGCCAGCCAGAGUCUGGGCACUCAGAGGCUGCAUGGGCCCAGACACAGCCUGGGGCUGGGUACCUACAUUUACUUGGACUGGGAAGAAAGUUAUUCCUCCAUUUUCAUUGGCAAUACCUGUAAUUUAACAAAAAGAGCCUGAAGUAAGGGCAAGUUCUGUGGGGGACAUGUGUGUGUGUUUGUGGUUUUGAGUUUUUUAAAACAAUUCAGUUCUUAUUAGCUGCUUAUAACUAUACACUUAGCAUAUUAUACAUGAGAUUGUUUAAUCAAAAUACUUUGGAAACUUCAUCCUAAGACAAGAAGAUAAUGAAGCUGAACUAAGGUUUUCAUACUAAUGCAGCUUUCAUCCCCUCUCAGUUCCAGGAGGGCUUACUGAAACAACUGUUUUAUAAAACAGACCCUGGCAGUCAGAAGAACAUCCUCAUGCUCUACAUGCUCCGUCCUUAAACUCUGCUUGUCUAUUCAAACCAUUUUUCCUACUUAUGAAUCCUUAUGAACAUACUUUUUUCUGGCCAACUGUUCCCCCCUCUCUUCUUGGCUGUAUUCUAAUACUCUGAUGGGAACAAGCCUGAAUAGUUGUGCAGCAGCUUUUCCCUCACCUUGCACUGGUAUUGUCACCGUCUGCCCGUUGUUGGCUGUCACGGUGGCCGUUGCCACGGUCACCAGGGUCUGGCCAGGCACAGGAGUCACGGACACGGCCUCGGGGCUCACGUUCUGCACUGGCACCGUGCUCACCACGGGCUGCGGGGGCACCCUCACCGCGGUGCCACCCUCGGGGGCACUGUCAUUGUCAGCGAACAGGCGCCGCCGCGUGGGGUUGGCUGUGGGAGAGCUGUACCUGUCGUACAGGGUGGCUGGAGGGGAGGAAAGGCCUGGGGAAGAAAAACACACACACACAUAUAAAUAUAGAUUUAACUCUUGUUUUAUAAUCCCUUCUUCUAAAACUAGGUGAUGGAAAUCUAAUGCAAACCAAAAUCUGUCAUGCAAAGCUCUUCAGGAAAGAAUUUCUGGAAGUACAUACUGCUUUUAGAGAUGACUUAAUCUUAGAUAAUGCUGUGUUUAAUAUUUUUCUAAGUUCAUGUAUUAUAUUUUAUUUCUUCUAGCAAAAAAAGUUUGAGAUGUCACAUAACUCAAUAUAUAGUGGAGUUUCUCUCCUGGCAUAAUAAUAAAGCAAACCAAUUAGAGCAUAAGUUGUGUGUGUGCCUGUAUAAAUACUGUUUAACACAUACAUACACACAUGCUGUUCGUAUCUAUCACCUGAGAACACCCUAUCAAAGCAGUAUUUAGUUCAGUGAUACAAUGAAUCCAUCAGUCUUACACCUCUGAUGCAACUCUGUGAGUUGCAAUACAAAUACCAUUCACAAAUGUGUUUGCAGCUAACUGUACAUUGGCAUUAAAGCAGCGUCCUUCCUUACAAAAUUUAAUCUAGCUAAGCAAUGCAUAGCAUGUUCUGCUUUUAAAAAAUCUCACCUUUUCCCAGUCCUCCACUUUCAGCACGAACCUCGUUUAUUCGCCGUGGUGUCAAUGGUGAACCUACAACACUGUUCCCAGCAGAUUUCUCGAAGUACUGAGGUGGCAUUACCUAAAAUAUUUAUCCUUUUAUUAGAGUGUCUCUAUCACACAAUAACUACAUAGCAAAUUUUUAAAAGCUACAGCACUACAGAUUUUGAACAGCAAAACUCUGUGGAAAAAGAACAAGAAAAGUGACCAACUUACCCUAAGCCAAACUAGCCCAAGAAAACCAGUAGUGCAUAGUGAUUGUGCUGCUCUGGAAGAUACACACUGUAAUAGUCUUUCUGUGACUACUGCUGUGUGUACUUUUUACCACAUUCUUGCUUAAUAAUCUUUUCAAGUGAGACUUUCCUGCUUGACCAUUUUUGUUCAUUGUUCUGCUAACCAAUAAAAUACUAGAUAAAAUACUGGGUGAGAAUUUUCUCUGCUGCCUGUCUCUGUUGCAGAUGUCUCCACAGAGAUGACUCUAACCAGGCCAGAGCACACUGCACUGCACGUACUGCCUUCCCUGGGAUGGGGAUGGGCUGGGAUGGUGGGAUUGCUACUGGGCCUCGUAAGGCCUCUCCUUCAGGGUACGAAGGCCUCUGUCUGAUUAUGAAAGCAGUGUAACACACUGAAAGAUGUGCUCACCUCUUCACAAGUAGGAACUUUGUUUUCAUUCUCUCUGAUCCUGUCCCACAGUACAGAUUCCCGUUUCCAUGCCAUACUUUCCAGGAUCUGCUCUUCAAUGUGGUUCAGGUGUUUUACCACUUCCCGACAAAGGCCAUCCUCUGCUCUAAUGAAAACCUCAAUUACCUGUGCAGUGGAUAAUUAUGAUCAACAUAACGUACUUGUUUCAUACAUUGAUUCUUAAACAAAGAUCUAAGUCCAAUACUUGAUUUUCAUGGAAGAAGAGACUAUUAGAAAUAUGAAGGCUGCAUUACUAUGACUCAAUCCUAUACUGUCAUACAGGUCAAUGAGCAGUCAUGACCUGAUCAGCAUUUCUAGCUAUCCAACACAUUACCUUGUAAAAAUGAUAAACUGGAAUGUCAAAUAUUUCGGUGAUGAACGGGAAGUUUCCAGGUGGGUUGUAUGUAAAGGUAAUGAUCUCCAGGCAACAUGCCAGCAGAGACCUGUGAAACACAUCUUGCUCCAGUAUUGCCUGCAAGAGUUGCAAAUUUUAAAGCUUAUUUUACAGUGUAACUAUAGAACAAUAAACAACUUUUUUUAUUGUCUCAACAGCAAGAUUCUCAAGCUUACAAAAAGUGAAGCUAUUUUGUAAGGGACAGAACAGAAUUCAAAAUGAGCCCUCCUUUACUCAUUAAAAAUUUCAUCUAUCUUUGUGUUUGCAAACACAAAUAAUUUCUUGAACCUUUUUUCUUCCAUUCAGGUGUACUUACAGGGUUCUUCUCAGAGAUUUACCCUCAUUUUAAAUAGCUGACAAUUCUGCUCUACAUCUGUGUUCUUUUUUUGCAGGUCCAACUUUAAAAGUGGGGAACCCUUUGAUUAGUUUUCCUUACAGAUAAGUCAGCGUCUCCCAGUCUCUUCCUUUCUUGCUCAAUGACUGACUCCAAGACCUUGUAGUAGAGCAUCUCAGCACGACGAAAAUGUUUACUAGCAACAUCUGCAGGAAGUUUAAAUAAAAGCAAUAUUGUAAAAUGCAACAUAAAAGCAUUAUCUUCUUCAUCUUCAGGUACAGAGAUGCAACAGUAGCUUGAUUUCUGUGCUUCUGUGGCUACAAUACUUUCAGGACUAAACCAGUUAAAGUAGGGAUCCUUCUCCUACAUUGCACUGACUUGUGAAUGCAGAGCAGAAUAACUUGCUACUGAACCCAGAUUUCGGUGACAUCACCAUGUAUAAGAACAAUCCUUAACGUUGCUAUAAUGUACACAAUUCCAAUUCAGAAAAUGCAAUGAAAAAUACACCUGUAAGGAUCCACCUCGCACUGUGCAACAAAAAGCACUGAAGCAACUAAGUUGACAAGAACAAAGGAAGGCCUUAUUAAGAAACAAGGUCAAGAGCAUCUUCCUCAUAUUCAAUCCAUCUUCAGGCACUUCAGAUAUCAAGACAACUUUGCAAGUUGUGUUUUUGUGUUUUUACUGGCAGGAUUUUAAUACCUGUACUAAUCCAUCCUCACAUGUAAGCUAAAAUUGCUGUUGGGUUUUUAAAGACUACAGUUACUCAGAUUUUCUCUACCAUCAUAGAAAUCCAUGCCAUCACUAAUAUUCUUAUAUUUGAGAGAAAAAGUGGUACACUUAACAGUGCUUUUCACUUCUCUAGUACUCAAAGCAUGAUCAAAUUCCAGUGAUUCAAACUAAGGCUGAUUAUAAAAUUUUACACAGCAUUGAAAUUUGCUGUCUAAAGAAUACAUGAAAAGUCAAGAGAAGUAGAAAAGCCACUUGUGCUAAAGCAUAACCUGUAUGUAAAACUUAAUUACAAGAGAUGGAUGCGUUUACAGGCAUUUUAAUUCUUAUCUGGAUAAGCAAAAUGUUUCCCACCUUUGGAAAAAUUACUGAAUUCUCCUUCAGACUGUGUGCUCUGACAGUACACUUCGUGCAUUUCUUUUACUCUGUUUGCAAUGGAUUGAGAAGGAUCUCUGGAACACGACCUGAAAUAAAAACUAAACAUUUUCAAUAUACUAUUCUUACAAAGACCAAAAGCCCCCUAUUUUUUAUAUGUUGAAAGCACAAAAAAAAGGAAAUAUAUUGCACAGCAAUACAAACAGAUCCAAAUGUGUCUAACUGCAAAACAUCAUAUUACUGUAUACAUUGCAGUAAAUAUGUUCAACUUUUCAUGAUCAAGGAGAGAUAUUUAAACAGCACUUUCCACAUGACAUAAAAAUUGUUUAAAAAUACAUUAUUCCUGAAGCAACAGUUUAUCCACAUGGCAAAUAAGGUGCAGUUUGCCUCUCCUACAGUAUGGAGUGAUUUCCUAUGUAGUGCCAUUUGCUAAGCAGGAAGAAAAGUCUUGACAAUUUAUACUGGCAACUUGUGGUUAGAGAAGCUCAAAACUGUUGGGUUUUAAAUGGUGGAUGUUUAUCAGUCUCUAAGGACAGAUGUGUCUAAAUAAAGAGAUUAUUCCUUUGAAAUGUAAA
Molecule: long non-coding RNA, 5614 nt
Organism: Corvus hawaiiensis (hawaiian crow)
Lineage: Eukaryota; Metazoa; Chordata; Aves; Passeriformes; Corvidae
Exons: 2
Source: RefSeq, a predicted model, not a curated record